GACGAACGCUGGCGGCGUGCUUAACACAUGCAAGUCGAACGGAAAGGCCCUGCUUUCGUGGGGUGCUCGAGUGGCGAACGGGUGAGUAACACGUGAGUAACCUGCCCUUGACUUUGGUAUAACUUCAGGUAACUGGGGCUAAUACCGUAUAGGAGCUCCUGCUGCAUGGUGGGGGUUGGAUAUUUUCGGCGGUUGGGGAUGGACUCGCGGCUUAUCAGCUUGUUGGUGGGGUAGUGGCUUACCAAGGCUUUGACGGGUCGCCGGCAUGGGAGGGUGGACGGGCACAAGGGGACUAAGAGACGGACCAGACUCCAACGGGAGGCAGCAGUGGGGAAUAUUGCACAAUGGGCGGAAGCCUGAUGCAGCAACGCCGCGGGCGGGAUGACGGCCUUCGGGUUGUAAACCGCUUUCGCCUGUGACGAAGCGUGAGUGACGGUAAUGGGUAAAGAAGCACCGGCUAACUACGUG
This 468-nucleotide ribosomal RNA is filed under the name uncultured bacterium. RNAcentral describes it as "partial 16S ribosomal RNA". It matches the Rfam family "Bacterial small subunit ribosomal RNA", at positions 28 to 507 of the family's 1533-position model. The record is from RNAcentral.